RNAcentral lists this ribosomal RNA (458 nucleotides) under uncultured bacterium. RNAcentral describes it as "partial 16S ribosomal RNA". It matches the Rfam family "Bacterial small subunit ribosomal RNA", at positions 338 to 795 of the family's 1533-position model. The record is from RNAcentral.
CCUACGGGUGGCAGCAGUGAGGAAUAUUGGUCAAUGGGCGAGAGCCUGAACCAGCCAAGUCGCGUGAGGGAGUACUGCCCUAUGGGUUGUAAACCUCUUUUGUCGGGGAGCAAAAGCCGGACGUGUCCGGCUGUGAGAGUACCCGAAGAAAAAGCAUCGGCUAACUCCGUGCCAGCAGCCGCGGUAAUACGGAGGAUGCGAGCGUUAGCGGGAUUGAUUGGGGUAAAGGGGUGCGCAGGCGGAUUUUUAAGUCAGCGGUCAAAUCGUGGGGCUCACCCCCCUCCAGCCGUUGAAACUGGGGAUCUAGAGUGUGCGAGAGGUAUGCAGAAUGCGUGGUGUAGCGGUGAAAUGCUUAGAGAUCACGAAGAACCCCGAUUGCGAAGGCAGCUUACUAAACUGUGACUGACAUUGAUGCUCGAAAGUGUGGGUAUCAAACAGGAUUAGAUACCCUUGUAGUC